This 1129-nucleotide long non-coding RNA is filed under the name Gallus gallus (chicken). RNAcentral describes it as "lncRNA (ENSGALG00010010357.1)". The record is from RNAcentral. Lineage: Eukaryota; Metazoa; Chordata; Aves; Galliformes; Phasianidae.
CCUGCUUGAAUAUGCAAAGGAUUCCAGUGUUAUCUGGUAUAUCUGAUGCGGCAUUGACCUAUACUCUCAUAUCUUAUCUUCCUACUCAGUAUGCAACCAGAAAAUGCUGGUGCUGCUGUACUACUGAGGGCAGUGCCUCCCUCCAACAACUGCUCCGCAGUGUGAGAUGUGGCCACUCACACAGACUCCUAAUACAGCCCACCGCAUGUAGUCUGGCAAGGUUUUGUUAGCCUCUUCCCCACCAAGGAAACAAAGCUUUUGCCUUGUAAUCCUCUGGAACCCAAGGGAGAGCCAUCUGUCUGUCAGUACCAGAGAUAACUUCUCUUCUAGAGGAAUACAAAAUCUGAACCACAGCUGCAGCUGCAGCACUGCUAUCCAAGCUUUACGAGUGUUUUUAAGAGGCAAUUGAACAAUCAGUCCACAUGAUGCAAUAGAAGGAACACCAAGCUGAGAUAAAGGUGACAUGGGGAACUGUUGUAGGCAGCUUGAAGGUAUAACUAUAUGCGAAAGCCCCACUGGUUCUGGAGUUGGCCUAUGGAUUCGCAAUGAAUGGAGCAACCAGAAAGGAAUGCAGAUAUAACGGAGAGCCCUCCCUGCCAUCUGCACCCAUGAGCCCACUGCAUCAUAGGAUUUUUGCAGGCCCUGCCAUACAAAAAUAACCAAAACCAAGUGAAAAAGUGUUUAGUCUUACAAAUCUCAAAAUAAAAGGAACCUUGGAUAUGAGUGAUUCUUUCUCAUCUCUAAACAUAUAUGUACUUCCAUAAUGCUGAACUCAAUUCUUCUUUUCUUUAUCUUGCAUUUAAACAAUAGACCAGGUUUUAUGGUUCUAUGCGAAGAACUUGUUACACAAGCUCCAGUGACUCACAAUCUUGUUGAACACUGUAUUCCCAAGUACUAGCCUCUAACACCAGGAAUCCUGGUAAAUGGAAUUAAAUAUUUUGCAAGAAUAUCUUGCUACAGCAUUUAAUACAUCUCUUGCAUAACUGACUCUUUUGGUGGGAUCUUUACUUUGGAAAGUAAAACAGAUAUAUGCAUGUAUUCAGUUGAGAGGUUGUAACAUGUUGAUACUGAUUUACUUGAGAGUUUUGGCCAAAUUUGGUGUGCUUAUGUUGCUGGGAGUAAAAGGGAG